This 3230-nucleotide long non-coding RNA is filed under the name Mytilus galloprovincialis (Mediterranean mussel). The record is from RNAcentral. Lineage: Eukaryota; Metazoa; Mollusca; Bivalvia; Mytilida; Mytilidae.
CAAAUACUGCUAAAAACUAUUCUCAUAUACAUUGUAGAUCAAGCUAAUAAUUUAUUGUAACAAUCAUGAAAGUUGUAAUUUAUAUAGAUAAUAUGCUUUUACACACUGUAGGGUAACAUUAUUCCUAAUUGACAAAUCAUAAUCUUUGUAAUUCAAAUAGAUGGUUGUAAUUUGUGAGCAUUCUGUUAAUUAAAACAAAUGAGUUAUAUAUCCAGUUAUGGUUUUUAUUAAAAAAAAAGAUAUGUUCAUGGAAACCAAAUAGAAUAUAUUGUACAGAAAAUUUCAGUAUUUGUUUCUGCGAGCCUGAGAAGGGUUUUGAAAACGUGUGCAGAUUUUAUUGAUCUUGCCAAAACUGAAUAAUGAGAAGGUAACUUAUAUAAUGCAUUAUUGAUAUUUAUACUGUAAACCAAUUAAUAUUUAUGAGUGGUUUAUUUUCACAACUUUCACAAGAGACAAAAAAACACGAUUAUAAAUUGUUGUGGAAAUUUCAAACCUGGAUCUUUCCUCCUCUCACUGUAAACUUGAAAAUCACGAAAUUAAAUCAUGCUAAUUGAGAUAGAAAAGGCUAAAUGUAAAAUAAUGUUUCCUUGAAAAUAAGUUGGUUUACAUUAUAGUAAUAUAUUGUUAGCAAAGAGACAAGUAGUACGUAUAUAAGAAGUAUAUUACCUAGGACAUAAUAUAAGUACAAAGUACAUAACAAGUUUAUACUAUACAAAAAUAGAGAACACUGAUGUAAUAAGUAUAUGCUAUUGCAUUAAAUAAACUAAUUGAUGUAGUAGAAGGGAUUUUAACCUUUCUUUAGGUAUAUGUCACUUGGCAAAGAUGUUCCUAAACAACUAGAGUGUUGAUAUAGUCUGAUUGUUGUAUAGAUUUAUUAGUAGGUAAUUUUAAUAUCAAAUACAUUUUUGUACUCCUUACAGUAUUAUGGUAGGGAAAGGUGUACAUAUUAUGAUUGUUGUUAAUAUAUACAUGUAAUUAAAUUGAUGAAAAAUUGUUUGCAUAACCUUUUUUUUAACGUUUUGUAAUUAAAAUGUAAAUGACCCUAAGAUUGUAUUUUCCUGUAAUUGCCAGUGAUUUUUUUUGGACAAUUUAACCAUAGGCAUAAUUUUUUGUAAUUUUGUUUAAUUUCUUUUUGUACAACCCAUGGUAAUUUGAUUGUUAAAGAGUUAAGAUGUGUUUGCAAUUCUAAUGUUAUUCAGAAACUUGUCUGUUUUGAUACUUGAAUUAUUAAUAAUACCUUUUUGAUUCAAACGUCACUUAUGAGUCUUAUGUAGAUGUAACACAUGUCUUUUGUACAAAGUUUAAAUCCUGGUAUCCAUGUUGAGUUUAUCAAAUGGCAUAAGCAGAUACCUUUGGCUUAUGAAACACUGCUGAAUAAAAUGAGAUCAGACAUUAAUGUCAAUGAGAGGUAAAAUCAUACAAGAAAAAUGUCGACGAAACAACUAUAAAUGGCAUGAGCCUAUAUAUAGACUAAUGGAUUCUAAAAUGUAAAUCAUAAGUUUAUUUCUACCUUCGUUAUUUAUUUUUAAACAUUUAAUGUAUUAUAUAAUUAAUCCAUCUUCAUCAUGUACUUUGAUUAUCCAUGACAAAACAUAUAGAAUAGCUUAUUGAUUGAUAUUGGUAGCUAGAAUAUGUGAACUUUAAACCACCUUGGUUUUAUUUCCUUAUUUGCCAAAUAUUUUCAUUGUGACUGUCUCUGAGAAAAAAGUAAAAAGUAAUUUAUUGGCAAAAUGUCUUUGAAAAAAAGAAAAAAAAUAUUUAUUGGUGAACAAAAUGUUUAUUAUAAAUGUUUAUUUAUGACUUAAUAAUUAUGACAUUUUGAUGGAGCGAAAAGGAAUUAGUAACCGCAAUAAAUUGCCCCGAAACAGGGGUGUUUUUUUAAAAAAUAAUUGUUUGAUUAGGCCGUUCAAAAUGUAUUGCUAAAUAUGUUAUUUUAAAAGGUCGAUAAGAAUAAUUGUACAUCUUCUACCUUUUUAUAAAUAUCUUUGCCUAAAAUAGGUACUGAAUUUAUUUGAAAUCCAUUUCUUUGGGCAACUUUUCAACCUUUUUUCCUUAUUUUAUAUAUGGCACUAACCCUCAUCCAUUGAAAUUUUGGGUGAAAAGGAAAGAAAAUGUUACACAAAGAAUAUUCCAGCAUAGAGGUUUUAUUUCAAAGGGUGGCACAACUGUUAAUUGUUUGGGAAAUCUGUCUUAGAUGUUUGCCAAAUUAUCAAAAAGGUAUGUGUUUUAACUCAUUAAUCUACACAGCACAAAUACAUCACUAUUUAAAAUGGUUAUUUCUUAUUUUUCUGAGAAAUUUGGGCAUUUUACUUUCAAAUUUCCUUAAAAUUAUUGCGUUUUUUAUUUGGUCGGGUUGUUGUCUCUUUGACACAUUCCCCAUUUCCAUUCUCAAUUUUAUUGUUUUUUUUUUCUAGAUUUUAAUGGCUAAAAUUAUGAAUUAGUGAACCAGAUCCUUUGCACAGUUUGUGAUUCAUGCAUAAAGAGAGCUACCUAUUCUGUUAUUGCACCAAUUCUCCCUUCUUUGUAGGUCUUGUGAUUUACCUCUGGGUUUUUUAACCCGGAUUUGUAUCUUAUAUGACUAAUUUUUUUUACAUAAAUAAGGCCAUUAGUUUUCUCGUUUGAAUUGUUUUACAUUGUCUUAUCGGUGUCUUUUAUAGCUCAUGCUUUGCUCAUUGUUGAAGGCUGUACGGUGACCUAUAGUUGUUAAUGUCUGUGUCAUUUUGGUCUUUUGUGGAUAGUUGUCUCAUUGGCAAUCAUACCACAUCUUCUUUUUUAUAUAAUGAGAUUUUAUUUGAACAAGUUCAUUUAUUUAAAUAAAAAUAACAUAAAAAUGCAAAUAACAUUUUAUUGCAAAAAUAAUAAGAUUUUUUGUUAAAAUGCUUAAAUGGAAUGAAAACAAACCAAAAAUAAACGUUAAAACAGGGAAUCAAACUAGUUAUAUAGGAUUAUAUAUUUCCUUAUUGGCCCAUUAGGAUUUCAUAUCUUCUUUUUAAUUAGUGUAAUUCAUCAAUGUAGAGAAAUUUAUUAGCCGAAUUUCUGGUUUCUUUUUUUAUCACAAUUCAGGUAGGAGUUUAAAUCUGUGUGAAUGAAAAUUUUGCUAUAUAAGUGCUGUUUAGAAUGGUUUUGGAUAUUUAUAAUUUAUUGUCUGUUUAUAAUAUCAUUAAACUAUUUUAGCCCAAGAGUGAUAAAAUAUUGUUUUUUUCAUUACUGAUAUGAAUAUUGCCUUCAAG